This 144-nucleotide ribosomal RNA is filed under the name uncultured eukaryote. RNAcentral's name for it is "partial 18S ribosomal RNA". It matches the Rfam family "Eukaryotic small subunit ribosomal RNA", at positions 1299 to 1458 of the family's 1831-position model. The record is from RNAcentral.
UGGUGGAGUGAUUUGUCUGGUUAAUUCCGUUAACGAACGAGACCUCGACCUGCUAAAUAGUUCGGCAAAUUCUUCGGGAUUUGCAUAAGUGACUUCUUAGAGGGACUAUCGGUGUGUAGCCGAUGGAAGUUCGAGGCAAUAACA